CCUACGGGAGGCAGCAGUAGGGAAUAUUGCUCAAUGGGGGCAACCCUGAAGCAGCAACGCCGCGUGGAGGAUGAAGGUUUUCGGAUUGUAAACUCCUUUUGUUAGAGAAGAUAAUGACGGUAUCUAACGAAUAAGCACCGGCUAACUCCGUGCCAGCAGCCGCGGUAAUACGGAGGGUGCAAGUGUUACUCGGAAUCACUGGGCGUAAAGGGCGCGUAGGCGGGAUAGCAAGUCAGAUGUGAAAUCCUAUGGCUUAACCAUAGAACUGCAUUUGAAACUGGUAUUCUAGAGUAUGGGAGAGGUAGGUGGAAUGCGUGGUGUAGGGGUGAAAUCCAUAGAGAUCAAGAGGAAUUCUCAUUGCGAAGGCGACCUGCUAGAACAUAACUGACGCUGAUGCGCGAAAGCGUGGGGAGCAAACAGGAUUAGAUACCCGAGUAGUC
Molecule: ribosomal RNA, 440 nt
Filed under: uncultured bacterium
Lineage: Bacteria
Description: partial 16S ribosomal RNA
Rfam family: Bacterial small subunit ribosomal RNA
Source: RNAcentral